UGCAACAUCAGGUCCAGUGGUGAAGCUACAGGGUACAUCAAGCUCCUGCUCCUAGCCUUCGGUUUCAGCUGUUCAAUGUUUGUAGGCAGAGUUGCUCUCUCAAGGGCUUUUGGAGUCCAUAUCUUUAUAUCAGUCUCAAUUCCACUACUAGCAAGCACAGUGGCAUGAGGAUGAGGUUCAAUGCAGUUGACCACAUGCUUAUCUGCUUCCAUUACACGAAUGAGCUCUCCACCCUUUUUCUUCCAAAUGAAUAUCCGACCACAAUCUGACCCGCUUACCACAUACUCGCAUCCAGGUCCAAAGAAGCUCACCCCUUUCACAGUCUCAGCAUUUCGAUGUCCUUUGUAUACUUGGGGAGUGGUUUUGUCAUCAGCAUCCAUAGGCACCAUUUCCUUUACAUCGCUGCCUGUGGAAACUGGAGAGGAUGGGUCUGGAUUGGAACCCAAUCCCAUGUCUCGUGUGAAAAGAUAGAUGAACUCGUCAUUAUAUGAGACUAGAAGCUCGCUCUGGUCUGAGAAUGACAAGCCUGUAAUUCCAAAUUGCUCAUCACCAAUCAAAUGUGGAGGACAAAAGUAAUCUUUAGGUUGACCAAAUUCGGUUGAUCCAUCCCACUUAUACAUGCGGACAUCAUAAACUCGAGUAUACUCAUCUGAUCCUGCAACUGCAAAGAGAUUUGGAUUCCUGGGAUCAAUUGCAAUUGCAUUUAGGUGGACAACUGGCAUGUAAUUCCUCCUAUCAUCAAUUGGUUGACAAGUAAAAAGUUCUGUAGCACGCCUACUUCUCAGAUCAAACUGAAAUGAAAUGAACAGUGUCAUGUACUGGUAUUUACCCAACUAUGCAAAAUCAGGUGAAAAUCACAUCACAAGAUCAAAGGACAUGGAAAUAGUAUAACAGAAGCAUAAUGACCAGACACUCCACUCUUUCGUUCGUUAAAGUCGAUCCAGGCUAAGAAUCAACCAACCAUUUGGCUUGUCAAGCUGCUAAAGGUGAGUGAAAAAAAGGAAAAGAAAAAUUAAAAGAAAUUGAAAAUCAGUCCUCUUUUCCAGUCCCUCUUUUGUGUUUCUAAACCUGCAUCCUUCUUUCAUCCUUAACAAUAAACCCUAAAAUAAAUAAGCACUAGCAAGCAUAUUUCCACACCUGUCCUGCUGUCCCACAUCACCUGAAUAAUUAUCAAACCAUUGAAUCACCCCCCACAAAUAUCACAUGAAACAUUUCAUGACUGAGCAACUGUUUAGGUUUUCAAACACACAAUGCUAUUCAAGUUCUCUAACAAACAGAACUGUAGAAUUGUCAACUGAAAUUGGAAAGGCACACAUAACUCACAUGUUGAACCAAUCCAUCCUCGCCACAAGUAUAAAAUAUAUGAGGGCUCCCAGGCUCAAUAGCCAACUUAUGAGCUCGUCCUUGGUGUUUUGCUAGCAACGCAGUCUCCACUGCUCCACGCUCCAGAAUCUGAGCAUGUCGAACCUAAAAUAGAGGUUAAAAUUUUCAUUAAGCAUGAUAUCAUAUUUGAGAUGAAGAUAGAUUAUUAGCUUGGUGAUGAGAUCACUCCCUCUUUGAACUAGUGUUGUUAAAGGCACACCUUAGGCUCACAAGGCUCUAACCUUAACGCUUCUACAGUAGAAAGGUAAACAACCUUUAAAAGGCACUCACCUUAUGCACCUAGGCAUGUGCCUUGUUCCAUGCACAAGGCUCUAGAAAGGCGCCUUAUUCACUUCCAAACUAGUAAGUUCCUUGGAAUAUAAAGAAAAAGCCAUUGCUUGAUGUAUCAUCUCAGGCUAAGAAGAUUUUUAGCUAGAAUCUACAACAGCACACUGAGUUGCAAAGAUAUGGGGACAUCACACUUCAUGUUCUUUUAAACAUAGGAUUACCUGACCAUCUGCAGCACAUGUAACAAUACUUCGAUCAUCUGUGUAAGGCAUUAUUUUGGCUUGAAAAACAUUGUUAUUAUGACCAGAAUGGAAAGAAAGCUUGAUACGCCCAGUUUCCCAAUCCCAGAGUAUGACCCGCCUGUCAUCAGAACCUGACACCAGAAUGUCACCAUCAGCAUUGAAGCUUACCGUAUUUACACAGCCUCUGUGCUUCUCUAGCUUCUUGUAUAUAUCAAGUCGCAGUACAAGAUCCUCAGAUGCAGCGAGACGGUGAGCGAAAUUCCGGCUGGAGAGGUCACCAACCUCCCGUUGCCAAACAUUAAGCACCGCUUUAUCAGCGGUGGUUCCAGCUCUCUUUUUCAUUAUAAAACGGACAAGAAUCAAAAUUGAAAGAGAUCGUAUCAAUUGGCGAACUAAGUCAGUAGAACAGGAGCAAGUCAAUCGAAGAGAGAGAGAUAGAGGAGGAAGACAUUGAAUCUGGGGAUCGUGGAGGUUCUGUUAUAGGAUUCGCGAGGAGGGUAUCUCCGUCUCCCUGUGCAAAGGGGUACCCUGUGACCACUCUGUAGACUAGGGUGUUGGCUUUCGGUUACUUCGCUGUUCUACCUAAAAAUAAAAAUCAGAAUUAAACCUAGGGUCAUUUGAUUUUUA
Molecule: unclassified non-coding RNA, 2519 nt
Filed under: Hevea brasiliensis (rubber tree)
Lineage: Eukaryota; Viridiplantae; Streptophyta; Magnoliopsida; Malpighiales; Euphorbiaceae
Source: RNAcentral